This 860-nucleotide ribosomal RNA is filed under the name marine metagenome. RNAcentral's name for it is "bacterial SSU rRNA". It matches the Rfam family "Bacterial small subunit ribosomal RNA", at positions 415 to 1291 of the family's 1533-position model. The record is from RNAcentral.
CCUCUGGGCUGUAAACCUCUUUUCUCAAGGAAGAAGAUAUGACGGUACUUGAGGAAUAAGCCACGGCUAAUUCCGUGCCAGCAGCCGCGGUAAUACGGGAGUGGCAAGCGUUAUCCGGAAUUAUUGGGCGUAAAGCGUCCGCAGGCGGCUUUUCAAGUCUGCUGUUAAAGCGUGGAGCUUAACUCCAUCAUGGCAGUGGAAACUGAAAGGCUUGAGUAUGGUAGGGGCAGAGGGAAUUCCCGGUGUAGCGGUGAAAUGCGUAGAUAUCGGGAAGAACACCAGUGGCGAAGGCGCUCUGCUGGGCCAUUACUGACGCUCAUGGACGAAAGCCAGGGGAGCGAAAGGGAUUAGAUACCCCUGUAGUCCUGGCCGUAAACGAUGAACACUAGGUGUCGGGGGAAUCGACCCCUUCGGUGUCGUAGCUAACGCGUUAAGUGUUCCGCCUGGGGAGUACGCACGCAAGUGUGAAACUCAAAGGAAUUGACGGGGGCCCGCACAAGCGGUGGAGUAUGUGGUUUAAUUCGAUGCAACGCGAAGAACCUUACCAGGGUUUGACAUCCUGCGAACCUCUUAGAAAUUUGAGGGUGCCUUCGGGAAUGCAGUGACAGGUGGUGCAUGGCUGUCGUCAGCUCGUGUCGUGAGAUGUUGGGUUAAGUCCCGCAACGAGCGCAACCCACGUUUUUAGUUGCCAGCAUUUAGUUGGGCACUCUAGAAAGACCGCCGGUGAUAAACCGGAGGAAGGUGUGGAUGACGUCAAGUCAUCAUGCCCCUUACACCCUGGGCUACACACGUACUACAAUGCUACGGACAAAGGGCAGCAAACUCGCGAGAGCUAGCAAAUCCCAUAAACCGUGGCUCAG